This 1449-nucleotide ribosomal RNA is filed under the name uncultured organism. Its description in RNAcentral is "SSU rRNA". It matches the Rfam family "Bacterial small subunit ribosomal RNA". The record is from RNAcentral.
AACGCUAGCUACAGGCUUAACACAUGCAAGUCGAGGGGCAGCAUGGUCUUAGCUUGCUAAGGCCGAUGGCGACCGGCGCACGGGUGAGUAACACGUAUCCAACCUGCCGUCUACUCUUGGACAGCCUUCUGAAAGGAAGAUUAAUACAAGAUGGCAUCAUGAGUCCACAUGUUCACAUGAUUAAAGGUAUUCCGGUAGACGAUGGGGAUGCGUUCCAUUAGAUAGUAGGCGGGGUAACGGCCCACCUAGUCUUCGAUGGAUAGGGGUUCUGAGAGGAAGGUCCCCCACAUUGGAACUGAGACACGGUCCAAACUCCUACGGGAGGCAGCAGUGAGGAAUAUUGGUCAAUGGGCGCAGGCCUGAACCAGCCAAGUAGCGUGAAGGAUGACUGCCCUAUGGGUUGUAAACUUCUUUUAUAAAGGAAUAAAGUCGGGUAUGCAUACCCGUUUGCAUGUACUUUAUGAAUAAGGAUCGGCUAACUCCGUGCCAGCAGCCGCGGUAAUACGGAGGAUCCGAGCGUUAUCCGGAUUUAUUGGGUUUAAAGGGAGCGUAGAUGGAUGUUUAAGUCAGUUGUGAAAGUUUGCGGCUCAACCGUAAAAUUGCAGUUGAUACUGGAUAUCUUGAGUGCAGUUGAGGCAGGCGGAAUUCGUGGUGUAGCGGUGAAAUGCUUAGAUAUCACGAAGAACUCCGAUUGCGAAGGCAGCCUGCUAAGCUGCAACUGACAUUGAGGCUCGAAAGUGUGGGUAUCAAACAGGAUUAGAUACCCUGGUAGUCCACACGGUAAACGAUGAAUACUCGCUGUUUGCGAUAUACAGCAAGCGGCCAAGCGAAAGCGUUAAGUAUUCCACCUGGGGAGUACGCCGGCAACGGUGAAACUCAAAGGAAUUGACGGGGGCCCGCACAAGCGGAGGAACAUGUGGUUUAAUUCGAUGAUACGCGAGGAACCUUACCCGGGCUUAAAUUGCAGAUGAAUUACGGUGAAAGCCGUAAGCCGCAAGGCAUCUGUGAAGGUGCUGCAUGGUUGUCGUCAGCUCGUGCCGUGAGGUGUCGGCUUAAGUGCCAUAACGAGCGCAACCCUUGUUGUCAGUUACUAACAGGUUCCGCUGAGGACUCUGACAAGACUGCCAUCGUAAGAUGUGAGGAAGGUGGGGAUGACGUCAAAUCAGCACGGCCCUUACGUCCGGGGCUACACACGUGUUACAAUGGGGGGUACAGAGGGCCGCUACCACGCGAGUGGAUGCCAAUCCCAAAAACCUCUCUCAGUUCGGACUGGAGUCUGCAACCCGACUCCACGAAGCUGGAUUCGCUAGUAAUCGCGCAUCAGCCACGGCGCGGUGAAUACGUUCCCGGGCCUUGUACACACCGCCCGUCAAGCCAUGGGAGCCGGGGGGUACCUGAAGUGCGUAACCGCGAGGAGCGCCCUAGGGUAAAACUGGUGACUGGGGCUAA